Pungitius pungitius (ninespine stickleback) is the source of this 1096-nucleotide non-coding RNA. NCBI's taxonomy places the organism in Eukaryota, Metazoa, Chordata, Actinopteri, Perciformes, Gasterosteidae. The record is from the annotation of a RefSeq genome assembly.
UCUGUACGACCUUUACAUCAGUCACACGAAGAGCAGGACAAAGCAGCCAUAAACAGAGGUACAAAGAGAUGAAGUCUCACCGGAUUACAACCAUCGUCCUUGGGUUUAUCAGCACGCUUGCUUUUUGGAUGCCCUCUGUGCCCGCUGCUGAGGUCCAACAUGUCCAGUACGGGUCAACAAUCACUUUGGGCUGUAACAUCUCCUACAUUCACGACAUAACAUGGCUCAAGCACAACCCUGAUCUUACACCCACCGUGGUCCUCCGCGCAAGUCUCACAGAUGGAAAAGCAGCACAAGAGUUUCAGCUGAGCCCUCAUUUCUCUGUGGAUUUGAUGAACAGAUCUCUGGCAUUGAGGAUCAUUGAUGUGCAGGAGGGAGACGUGGGCAUGUACUAUUGUGUUGGCAAUUCGAAAUCAACUUUCAUCGUAGGGAGAGGAACAAAACUUCAAGUUUCCUCUACAGGGUCCACUUGGUUCCUUUUUCCCCACUGGUACAGUGUGGGUGUGGGGUUUGGCCUGCUGCUGAUGGUGCUGGCUGUUUGCAUCACCCACUGCAAAGCCAAGUCAAACGAGGACCCCGGCAACACGACAUUUUCACUGCAGGAAAUUCUCACCUGUCACUAAGGACGUCUAACAGCACCCUGAAUCCAGCAUGCGGGGUGGAUGCAGUUUCACAGUAUACCUGUGCUUUCUGAGCUUUGAUGAUUGGAGGAUAUUAGAAAUAAAUUGACGAUGACGAGGAGCCAAACAGUCAGGUCAGUCCAUGUGCAUAUUUGCACUGACUUCAGUACAACCAGAACCAAAACCGAUACCAAAUAUACAUGCUAAGUGAGUAUAAUCCUGCCACUGUGUCUAGAUGCUCUCAACUGAAAAUUGAAUGGAGCAUCAUUUUAUAGAUACAUUCUGACUGACUGUAGUUUUUUCUUUCUUUCGGGGUGUACUUCUGCCCCUCACAUAAUGAGUGGCUACUGCUUUAACUGUGAUUGUUUGUAUGCUUCCAGUACAAUUAGGAAAAAUAUUUAAUCUUAAUGAACUCCUUUUUUGACAGACAAGGUGUAAAAGGUUAUUAAAGCUUUUUAAAACCAGACACGUGCAGA